Microcebus murinus (gray mouse lemur) is the source of this 1293-nucleotide non-coding RNA. NCBI's taxonomy places the organism in Eukaryota, Metazoa, Chordata, Mammalia, Primates, Cheirogaleidae. The record is from RefSeq and is a predicted model, not a curated record.
GGGACUGAUGGGGCUGUUCUAUUGUUCCCCAGCAGAGUGUCUGCCCGGCAGACUAGAGAAACCCAGAGAAAGCCUGGGGACUCGGUGUCCAGGGACUCCAGUGUGGUCAGUGAUCAAAAGCCUGCUUUGGAGUGUCCACUCUGGAGGGCUCCGGCACUGUGACAGCACAGAGAAUUGAUUCCCGCAGAGCUGGGCUGAAAGGACCUGAGAAUUCUAGAUCUUCGUAUUACGCAGUGAUGCCGAGCUGAUUUGGAAGAAGGGGGACAGACAGGGUAAUAUUCCAUUGAUGGGAAGGGCAGCCAGAAAACAGCUGCAGGUGGAGAAUGGGAUGGAUUUCAAGAAUUCUCCAUGGCGGCAUGGGUUCACACAGGGGCCAGCUGGGUGAUGAAAUCGACUCAGAGGUCAGAUGUGUGCUCAUGUUCAGAGAAGACUUCAGAAAUUUCAGGGACUUUCAAAAUUGGUUCUGGAUGGAGGCAGAUCUGUUGACUGGGGAGAAGGGACUAAUGCGUGAUAAUUCUGAGAUCCAGGGGCCUCAGGCAGGACGGGAAACGAGGGUGCAGGCUCCUUCCUCUAGCUCUGCUUUGGGGAACCUGGAAGAGAAGUGCCUCUUCUUUUCUCAACAUACAGAGAUGAAGGACAUGCAGAAUAGGAUAGAUCUGACCCUUUUAGGGGCGUUAAGCUGUAACGUGCAGCAGUUCUCCAAACAUUGCCUGUCUACAAGGUCCUUUAUCUGCAUAGAUGUGAGUCAGCUCCCUCCAGGUCCAGGGAUUUAGAGCAAUUUGCAUAAGCACCACCCAGAAACCAGAUGUUUAUGUGGGCUUUAAUGUCUCCCCCCUUCCCUUUAUUCCUUGACUUCUUCUGCCUCCCAAGCUGCCUGCAAGUGGCCCAAGAGUCUCACAUUAGACACUCCUGAAUUCCCAGCCCUGUUUGUCUCCAGCUGGACCGGGAGGGCCUCACAGAGCUUGGCACGUCCAUGCAUGGGUCUAGCUAGAUUCAUACGGUGCCGAGGCAGCUGCAAAAAUGAAAAGUCGUAAGAAAAAUGAAUAUCUAAACUCCAAAGAAAGGAAAUAAACAUCAGGGUUCCAGAAGAGCGUAGGGGUAGUCAGAUCUGAAUUGCCUUGAAUUCUGUAAUGCGAGCCAAUGUGCAAGGGAACUAUAUAGGACAUUAAGGAAGAGGGGGUGUAGGCAAAGUAGAGGAUAUCGAAUGUUCCUGACACUAAGAAAUAAUAAAUGUGUGAGAUGAUGGAUAUGCUCAUUACACUGAUCUGAUCACUAUAUGGUAUGUGUAUUGAA